UCUAUUGUUAAAAAAAAUCCUCUACAUGUAUAGGUAUUGUGAGCUGGGAUGAAUACGGUCACGUUUGUACGGAAUAUAUGUUUGUUUCCGUUCGUAACAAUUCGUGUUAGAUAUUCAGGGCCGUGUGUACGAAUCAAACUUUUUAAAAUUCCAGUCGCAUCUAUCGUGCAUUUUGUCGUCGUUCUACAUUGAUUCUCAUUGUGAAAAAAAAUCAUGGGGCCAUGUGUUCAAAACUUUCAUCGCCAUUUUGUAGAGAUUUCUGCCAAACCCAAUUUUUCUUGCGUUAUCCUCUGUACUUAUGUUGACAGAUUAUGUACAGGUUUCCAGGGCCAUGUGAACAUGUCUUAAUUUGUUUUUGUAACAUAUAUAUCUAAUUAUGCAAAGUUAUUUUAGGGCCAUGUGGUGCAGUUAAGUAUCAAUAGCUAUUUGAUUAAUGGUGGAUCUACGUUUUCUUGUAUACUCUAUGUGUUCCUCACCUGUUGUAACUUCACUGUGGUUCAUGGAGUGAAAUACUCUAUUGGGCCAUGUUUAAAUAUCUACUUUAUUUGUCCAUGUGACAAAAUUUUCUUGGAGAUAUAUUGCUCUACAUGUAUAGGGCCAUGUGCAGCUCUUACGCAUUCCGUUAAACAUUACGGUCGUGAAACGUAAUCAGAAUGAUGGUUUCAAUGAUUCCAUGAUUAUUUUGCGACAAGUGAUAAUAGUCUCUGAUCCUUGUAGUAAUGUGUCUUACUGACAUGUAUCAUUAUUGUUUGUGAUUUGUUUUAUAUCCGAUUCGCAAUGAUCGAUAAUUGCCUUUGUGUUAGGGCCAUUGUGUCAACUUAGUUGAUUGUAAAUCAGGUGUAAUGACGCCUGUUACGUCGGAUACACUUUAUAAUCGCUCUGUAUAGUAUAUAACCUGAACUUACAGGGUGAAACAAUGUUCAUCAGUUGAUUUUUUUUUUUAACAAGCACAACACAAGUUGAGGUUUUGAUCGAUGGUAAUUUUCAAUUCUGAUAAGUCCGAUCAAAACUGGUCUGCAAUGUGAAUGUUGUUUCCCUUUGAACCGGUGCGCGUUGCUUUGUCCAAUGUCCAUACUGGAAUUAUCAUCUUCGCGAUCAGUAUAGGCCAUAUAUAUUUAGAAUAACCUAAGCUUUCUUUCUCAACGGUUGAAUCCACUAGUGGUCAGGUAGGGGCCACUAACUGGAUUAUCUUCACCGUCUACAUGUUAGAUACUUUGCAACCAUUUACAGACCUAAAGUAAGUUACCCUUUUUCUAUGAGUGUAUCUUAAUAGUGGUCAGGUAAGGACCAUUAAUAUACGUCUCCUUCUCUUUAUACCACAGCACCACAAAUUUGAUCAGGAAACCACUGUACAUGUAGUAACAUAACCUAGCUCCGCUAGGAAGACUUCUUUUAUUUUCAGCAACUUGCAAUUAGAUUAGAAGGACCAGUUAACCAGAGUGCUCAUGUCAAAAGCUGAUGACACGGAGGAACCGGAAGCAGGGAGGAGGAACACCGGAUGACUGAGGACCCUGCUUGCCGGGCAUCCCAUCACUGAUUUCCCAGAGAUGACGGUCUACAAGAUGAGAUAUCAUUCUGGACGAAGAUGCGAUCACUUCUGAAUCCCAAGGAACCGGAAGCAGGGAGGAGGACCGACGGAAGGACUGAUGACCUGCUUGCAGAGCAAGUCUUCACCAAUUCUUGAGAUUCCUCUUGCUUCGUAUAAGCAGCAGAGAUGAGAUAUCAUUCUGGACAAAGAUAUGAUCAAUUCUGAAUUCCAAGGAACCGGAAGCAGGGAGGAGGACCGACGGAAGGACUGAUGACCUGCUUGCAGAGCAAGUCUUCACCAAUUCUUGAGAUUUCUCUUGCUUUGUACAAGCAGCAGAGACGAUGACAAAACAUAAAGGAGUGCAGUUGUUUGCUAGGGCAGCUAGGAACACGAAUUCACUGACUGAUGAGUUUUACAAUAGUUAGCUCCUGAAAGUUCCCAUACGUUUCUCCCAAAAAGUCCGACUAAUCCGAGGGAUGUAUGAUGACACCAUCCCAUUUCGAAAUCCCGCCGAAAUCCUGCCAAGCAUGUAGAUGUCGGCUUAUUUAAUCAAUUGGUUUAAGUCGUACCUUAGCCUGAGUCAGUCAGUACCUUAGGUCGUAGUCAGUCCGAGUUUCAUUGGGAUUCUAUUUUUCGAGUUUAAAACACUAUAUUUUUCAGUCGUUUUAUUUUAAAUGUUUGACAGUCUCUCAAGUGAUUGAAUCUAUUAGUGUUACACAUCAAGACCGAUCACUGGAUGACAUUUUCCGAAAAUGGCACUCAUCUAUCGAGAGAAAUAUAAGAUCAGAUAACCUGUUCUCAUGGGCCCAAUGAACACUGAAUUAAUUAUGUAUGGCGCCUUGAACGUCUAAACUGGUCGGUAUGCCUUAAAUUUACCCAUCAGGCCCAUGCAGUUGACUGCAAUGCGUUGAUUUUCCUGAAACUGUUCGCGAGAACCCGACUCCUGCAUGCCCUGUAAAACUUACGGCCCAUUGUUCUGGCGGAAUUAAGCCGAUUUAAGAGCAGAUUUGAAACUUACCACAAUGAGUAAAUGAUCUAUGCCGUUAACAUCGACAAUGAAAAUGUGGUCACUCUGCAGCAAUGCAACUUGACAAACACAUAU
RNAcentral lists this long non-coding RNA (2630 nucleotides) under Patiria miniata (bat star). RNAcentral describes it as "uncharacterized LOC119722343". The record is from RNAcentral. Lineage: Eukaryota; Metazoa; Echinodermata; Asteroidea; Valvatida; Asterinidae.